This is a small RNA of 109 nucleotides. It matches the Rfam family "6S-Flavo RNA". The record is from Rfam.
ACUCAACGUUAAAUUGUUUGAAAAGGGUGAGUUUAAGUUGUAAAAGCAUGCCUGCUAGUACAGGAUCCUUGAGCAAUUUGUUAGCCCUAAACUUGUUUUUUUGGAGUUU